Telopea speciosissima is the source of this 137-nucleotide long non-coding RNA. RefSeq lists it as uncharacterized. The transcript has 3 exons. The record is from RefSeq and is a predicted model, not a curated record. Lineage: Eukaryota; Viridiplantae; Streptophyta; Magnoliopsida; Proteales; Proteaceae.
UCUUCCAUUCAGUAUAGGGUUUUUUGAAGAUCCUGGGGGAAGAAUUCUCGGGGCCUCCUAUGAAUGUGGUGGUUGAAAUGCUUUUAGGGUUAGCUUUCUGUAUGUUGGCAGCGUAAGUGUGCCGGGAGAAUUCCUAU